This 73-nucleotide transfer RNA is filed under the name Lachnospiraceae bacterium. Its description in RNAcentral is "tRNA-Ile". It matches the Rfam family "tRNA". From Rfam's summary of the family: Transfer RNA (tRNA) molecules are approximately 80 nucleotides in length. Their secondary structure includes four short double-helical elements and three loops (D, anti-codon, and T loops). The record is from RNAcentral. Lineage: Bacteria; Bacillati; Bacillota; Clostridia; Lachnospirales; Lachnospiraceae.
GGCCCCAUAACUCAAUGGUUAGAGUAGCGGACUCAUAAUCCGUUAGUUACAGGUUCAAGUCCUGUUGGGGCCA